Molecule: ribosomal RNA, 492 nt
Filed under: uncultured bacterium
Lineage: Bacteria
Description: partial 16S ribosomal RNA
Rfam family: Bacterial small subunit ribosomal RNA
Source: RNAcentral
AGUGAACGCUGGCGGUAGGCCUAACACAUGCAAGUCGAACGGCAGCGCAGUAAGAGCUUGCUCUUACGGGUGGCGAGUGGCGGACGGGUGAGGAAUACAUCGGAAUCUACUUUUUCGUGGGGGAUAACGUAGGGAAACUUACGCUAAUACCGCAUACGACCUACGGGUGAAAGCAGGGGAUCUUCGGACCUUGCGCGAUUGAAUGAGCCGAUGUCGGAUUAGCUAGUUGGCGGGGUAAAGGCCCACCAAGGCGACGAUCCGUAGCUGGUCUGAGAGGAUGAUCAGCCACACUGGAACUGAGACACGGUCCAGACUCCUACGGGAGGCAGCAGUGGGGAAUAUUGGACAAUGGGCGCAAGCCUGAUCCAGCCAUACCGCGUGGGUGAAGAAGGCCUUCGGGUUGUAAAGCCCUUUUGUGGGGAAAGAAAAGCAGCAGGUUAAUACCCCGCUGUUCUGACGGUACCCAAAGAAUAAGCACCGGCUAACUUCGUG